CUUCACCAAGUCAGCUUAAGGGACACCAUUAAAAGGACUGGUCUAGGAGCACCUAAAUCAGUCACACUAAUUUACCUAGCUAACAUGGGUCAGCUCGAAUAGUCAAGUGACCCGAUCAAAAUAUAAUUUCAUCAAGAGGCCAGGUAAGUUCGAUCGGUGGGAGGGUCUGUCAAAGCUUGCCUUAGAUACCAUCAGAAAUGGCCAGGUAAGCAGGCUGUCAAUUAAAAAAUAUCGGUCUGGUUUACCUUAGACACAAACUAGUUUAAUUAGAUUCGAUUUGAUCAACCUAACAGUUCAUGCUAGACCGCUUAGCC
Molecule: long non-coding RNA, 314 nt
Filed under: Elaeis guineensis (African oil palm)
Lineage: Eukaryota; Viridiplantae; Streptophyta; Magnoliopsida; Arecales; Arecaceae
Description: long non-coding RNA (EGUI_LNC054391)
Source: RNAcentral